GGUUGAUCCUGCCAGUAGUCAUAUGCUUGUCCUAAAGAUUAAGCCAUGCAUGUGUACGUUCAAGCCCUUGUACGGUGAAACUGCGGAUGGCUCAUUAUAUCAGUGAUAAUUUGGUUGAUGGAGAGAUAUCGUGGAUAACCGUGGUAAUUCUAGAGCUAAUACAUGCAGAGCAGACGCAAGUCUGGCAUUUAUUAGAUAAAGCCUUGGCGGCGGGGUAGCCCGUCGCUGCGGUGAGAGAUGAUAACUGGGCGGAUCGCGCUUUGGCGCGACGCAUCAAGGAAAUUUCUGCCCU
RNAcentral lists this ribosomal RNA (292 nucleotides) under uncultured eukaryote. RNAcentral describes it as "partial 18S ribosomal RNA". It matches the Rfam family "Eukaryotic small subunit ribosomal RNA", at positions 6 to 313 of the family's 1831-position model. The record is from RNAcentral.